ACUAACUAGGAUUCCCUUAGUAGCGGCGAGCGAACAGGGAAAAGCCCAGCGCCGAAUCGCGUGGCCGGCAACGGUCGCUGCGAAAUGUGGUGUUUAGGAGGGUCCGCUAUCCCGCGGUUGUACGACGCGUCUAAGUCUUUCUUGAACGGGGCCAUUUACCCAUAGAGGGUGCCAGGCCCGUAAGACCGCCGUCGGCCGCGGGAGGACUUCUCCUUCGAGUCGGGUUGCUUGAGAGUGCAGCCCUAAGCAGGUGGUAAACUCCAUCUAAGGCUAAAUAUGACCACGAGACCGAUAGCGAACAAGUACCGUGAGGGAAAGUUGAAAAGAACUUUGAAGAGAGAGUUCAAAAGUACGUGAAACCGUUCAGGGGUAAACCUGAGAAACCCGAAAGUUCGAAUGGGGAGAUUCAUGCGUGGUUCUCGCUGACCGGCGCACGGUGGUCGCUGAGACGGGCGUCGCUUCGGCGGCGUUCGCUCCGGCCUCCUGUCGAACCGGCCGCGAACGCGUGCACUUCUCCACCUAGUAGGACGUCGCGACUCGUUGGGUGCCGGCCUAAGGCCCGGUGGGUAGCCCGCGCGCUGCUUCGCGCAACGCACGGACCCCCGGUGUCCCGGCCGGCUCGCUCGACGGUAGACAUAUGGCGCGGGGCCGCAACUUGUUUGCGCUCGGCCCGCCGCAAGUGCGUGCGGUCACCCGGAAUUCGGACUUAGUGCCGAAUCUGGGCCCGCUCGACUGCUGGCGGCGGUGUUCUCGGGCAGACUCCGAAUACACGCCAGUCUGCGACGAUUCGCUUUGGGUACUUUCAGGGCCCGUCUUGAAACACGGACCAAGGAGUCUAGCAUGUGCGCGAGUCAUUGGGACAAUGCGAAACCUAAAGGCGAAAUGAAAGUGAAGGCUGGCGACUCGGUUCGCCGACCGUCAGCCGAGGGAGGAUGGGCCGCGCCACGGCACGGCCCCGCACUCCCGGGGCGUCUCGUUCUCAUUGCGAGAUGAGGCGCACCUAGAGCGUACACGCUGGGACCCGAAAGAUGGUGAACUAUGCCUGGUCAGGACGAAGUCAGGGGAAACCCUGAUGGAGGUCCGUAGCGAUUCUGACGUGCAAAUCGAUCGUCGGAACUGGGUAUAGCGGCGAAAGACUAAUCGAACCAUCUAGUAGCUGGUUCCCUCCGAAGUUUCCCUCAGGAUAGCUGGCGCUCAUAUAUGUGAGUUUCAUCCGGUAAAGCGAAUGAUUAGAGGCAUUGGGGCCGAAACGGCCUCAACCUAUUCUCAAACUUUAAAUGGGUGAGAUCUCCGGCUUGCUUGAUCGCCGAAGCCGUGAGAUAGAAUCAGAG
RNAcentral lists this ribosomal RNA (1331 nucleotides) under Leiodes paludicola. Its description in RNAcentral is "eukaryotic LSU rRNA". It matches the Rfam family "Eukaryotic large subunit ribosomal RNA", at positions 64 to 1119 of the family's 3401-position model. Lineage: Eukaryota; Metazoa; Arthropoda; Insecta; Coleoptera; Leiodidae. The record is from RNAcentral.